CAGCAGCCGCGGUAAUACGGAGGGUGCAAGCGUUAUCCGGAUUUAUUGGGUUUAAAGGGUCCGUAGGCGGACUUAUAAGUCAGUGGUGAAAGCCUGUCGCUUAACGAUAGAACUGCCAUUGAUACUGUAAGUCUUGAGUAUAUUUGAGGUAGCUGGAAUAAGUAGUGUAGCGGUGAAAUGCAUAGAUAUUACUUAGAACACCAAUUGCGAAGGCAGGUUACCAAGAUAUAACUGACGCUGAGGGACGAAAGCGUGGGUAGCGAACAGGAUUAGAUACCCGUGUAGUCCCUGUCUCUUAUAU
Molecule: ribosomal RNA, 301 nt
Filed under: uncultured bacterium
Lineage: Bacteria
Description: partial 16S ribosomal RNA
Rfam family: Bacterial small subunit ribosomal RNA
Source: RNAcentral